GGAAGGAUCAUUAUUGAAUUAUGGGUCUAGACGGGUUGUAGCUGGCUCUCCCGAGCAUGUGCACGCCUGUCUGGAUUUCAUCUUCAUCCACCUGUGCACCUAUUGUAGUCUUUGGUCUUGGGUUUUCGAGAAAGUGGUCAGGAUUUAUCAGCAUCUGCUGGAUGUGAGGACUUGCAGUGGCGAAAGCUUUGCUGUCCUUGACUUGGCUGCGGACUCGUUUGCUCGCCGGAGUCUAUGUUAUUCAUUAUACCCUAUUGUAUGUCUCUGAAUGUCUUUACAUGGGCUUUCAUGCCUAUGAAAAUUACAAUACAACUUUCAGCAACGGAUCUCUUGGCUCUCGCAUCGAUGAAGAACGCAGCGAAAUGCGAUAAGUAAUGUGAAUUGCAGAAUUCAGUGAAUCAUCGAAUCUUUGAACGCACCUUGCGCUCCUUGGUAUUCCGAGGAGCAUGCCUGUUUGAGUGUCAUUAAAUUCUCAACUCUCUUGUGCUGUUUUGUACAGGAGGGCUUGGAUUGUGGAGGCUUGCUGGCCGCUCGUUUGAGGUCAGCUCCUCUGAAAUGCAUUAGCGGAAACCGUUUGCGAUCUGCCACAAGUGUGAUAAACUAUCUACACUGGCUAGGGGGAUUGCUCUCUGGGUUAUUCUGCUUCUAACUGUUUCAAUUCAAUGAAACAACGUCUUGAAUGCUUGACCUCAAAUCAGGUAGGACUACCCGCUGAACUUAA
This 721-nucleotide ribosomal RNA is filed under the name Agaricus butyreburneus. RNAcentral's name for it is "eukaryotic LSU rRNA". The stretch from base 311 to 464 matches the Rfam family "5.8S ribosomal RNA". The record is from RNAcentral. Lineage: Eukaryota; Fungi; Basidiomycota; Agaricomycetes; Agaricales; Agaricaceae.